Molecule: ribosomal RNA, 385 nt
Filed under: uncultured bacterium
Lineage: Bacteria
Description: bacterial SSU rRNA
Rfam family: Bacterial small subunit ribosomal RNA
Source: RNAcentral
UGGGGAAUCUUCCGCAAUGGGCGCAAGCCUGACGGAGCAACGCCGCGUGAGUGAAGAAGGUUUUCGGAUUGUAAAACUCUGUCCAGGGGGAAGAAGAGAGUGACGGUACCCCUGGAGGAAGCCCCGGCUAACUACGUGCCAGCAGCCGCGGUAAAACGUAGGGGGCGAGCGUUGUCCGGAAUUACUGGGCGUAAAGGGCGUGUAGGCGGCAUAGCAAGUCCAUAGUGAAACCCGACGGCUCAACCGUCGACGUGCUAUAGAAACUGCUAAGCUUGAGUGCAGGAGAGGGGAGUGGAAUUCCCAGUGUAGCGGUGAAAUGCGUAGAUAUUGGGAGGAACACCAGUGGCGAAAGCGGCUCCCUGGCCUGUAACUGACGCUGAGGCGC